CCAGCAGGACACACCUGGCAACGGAUGUGACAUUCAGCACUGCCCAGGUUUCUUCCAUUUGGAGGAGGCAAACUGGUGAAUGGAAGGAGGCAAUCCUCUGACAGCGGGAUGCUAUGGAACAAUAAUAAGGCAAGUUUGCUUGCUUGAAGGCUGCUGGUAUCCAUGGUUGGAAGUUUGCGGACGUCUCAUGAUGGACCUAACAGUAGCUUUUGGCACAAUGGGACACUGUGACAGAAGCCAGAGCACACAGAAAUGCUGUUUACCUUCCUGCCACAGCGGUACCUAUUUAUCUACUUGCACUGGUGUGCUUUCGAACUGCUAGGUUGGCAGGAGCUGGUACAGAGCAACGGGAGCUCAGCCCGUCACAGGGAUUCGAACUGCCGACCUUCCGAUCGGCAAGCCCUAGGCUCAGGGGUUUAGACCACAGUGCCACCCGCGUCCCAAGUAUAUUAACAAUGAAAUACAAUUAAGAAGAAGUAUAUUAAUAGUGAAAUAAUUAUUAAGAUAUAACUUAAAAUGAUUUUUUAUUCAUACAAAUUUAAUAAUGCAAACUCAUUGGCAUUUGGCAAUAACAAGAGUUCCUUUAGAAAUGCAAUUUAUAAAGACUCGUAAUUUGGGGGGGGGGCCAAGAGAUUCGGGCCCUAAGCGAUAGCUUGUUUAGCUUAUACAGUGGUAGCUCGGGUUAAGUAAUUAAUUUGUUCUGGGGGUCUGUACUUUGCAAAUGAAGAAAGGCUUUGAGCACUUUGAGGGGAAGCACAUCACUUUAUACAGUGGUAUCUCGGGUUAAGUACUUAAUUCGUUCCAGAGGUCCGUACUUAACCUGAAACUGUUCUUAACCUGAAGCACCACUUUAGCUAAUGGGGUCUCCCGCUGCUGCUGUGCCGCCGCUGCACGAUUUCUGUUCUCAUCCUGAAGCAAAGUUCUUAACCUGAAGCACUAUUUCUGGGUUAGCAGAGUCUGUAACCUGAAGCGUAUGUAACCUGAAGCGUAUGUAACCCGAGGUACCACUGUACAUAAAUCUGGGACGGCUCACUGCCAAGGGGACAUAACAAGCAAAUAGAAAGAGAACCUACCCAAGUGACACUGACACAAAAUUUCCAUGCAUGCACUAAGUAAAAGAACAAGCUUUACCUCCCCAGCCCCUCUUUCCAGACCCCCCUUUUCUUCCCAUCCCUAUUCUGAAUAUAACACCGAUGUCUCACGACAAAUGUAACUGAUCUGUAGAAAACACAACCUGAAAAAAGAGACAAUGCAUGUGCUUUUUGAAAACGAAGAAAAUCUUUAAGGCAAAUUAUGUCUUUUAAAAACAAACCAAGGGGGAAUUCACACUAGCUGGAAACCUGAGAAUGAGAACCAGCCUUUGUUUUUACACAUGUGACCAAGGUCAAGAAGAGAGUUAAGUGGAAACCCUAUCAUGUUUGGGCAAGACAAAUUGCCUCUGUGUAAAAGCGUGACAGAUGUUGUUCUUGGAAAGCCUGGAGUUCUGCAGGAGGGGCGACUUGUCAGCCAGCUUUUGUUAAGUGUAGGUGGUUUCGUAAUGAGUCAGCACCCAAAAAUACUAGCAAGACGUAGCCUAGAGGUUAAACAAGUGAUUCUAUUGAUCUUUUCAUUCAUCAGAUGUGUCAGUCCCACAAUCUCUUGUCAGUUAUCCAAGAGGUUGGAAACAAAUGCAGUAUUAAUGCAUCUCUGCGAUCCCUGUUGAGACGUGCUAUCAUUGUUCAGUAAGAAAUUGGUUGCUUGUGGCAUGAAUUAAAUGUUUCCUUUCUCUGCUGAUGAGAUUAUUUGAGCGGAGUCACAUACACUUUUUUGAUCCGUAACUUCUUAUGCAAAGUUUGGCGAAUGUGUGGCAUCUACGCGGAAGGCGAUAAAUACUGGGUACUACCUGGAGAGCACACAAAUAUUAAAAAUUCUUUAUCAGUCUCUAAUAUUGUCAUUAGUGGGAUAUUUUUUUCACUUUCUGCAUAAUUUGACCUUGCACGUUAAUCUUGAAAAUUUACGAAAACUGUUUGUUUCUUGCCAGAAAUAGCAAUCAUGUAGGCUGCAAAAUUAUUUGAUUUGUGCUAAAUAGUUUGGAAGAUCACUCAUGCAUAAGUAAGGUUGCCAUACAUCCAGGAAUUCCAUAAUUUUAUUUAUUUAUUAAAGUUCUUAUGUUACAUCGGCAAACAUUAUCAUAUUACAUCACAAAGACAUGUCUUCUUUUGGGGGGUCCUACAUGCCUAACCAGGGGGAAUUUUACAUUUUAAAGCAAAUAUCCGGGAUUUUGGUUUUUUUUAAUAUAUGUAUAUGCAGUGCUUUUUUUCUGGGGGUACGCAGGGCUACGCAUACCCCUAAACAUUUUGAGAAUCUAAGUUUGGCCUCAUUGAGGGGCAGUAUUUCAAUAUGAGUAGGAAAAUGAGAGUACUCCUAAACAAUUUUUUAAAGAAAAAAAGCACUGGGUAUCUGUAUCUGUAUCUGUAUCUGUAGCUAUAGCUAUAGCUGUAGCUGUAGCUGUAGCUGUAGCUGUAGCUGUACAGUGGUGCCCUGCAAGACGAAUGCCUCGCAAGACGGAAAACCCGCUAGACAAAAGGGUUUUCCGUUUUUGAGUUGCUUCGCAGGACGAAUUUCCCUAUGGGCUUGCUUCGCAAGACGAAAAUGUCUUGCGAGUCUUGAGAUUUUUUUCCCGCUCCCCCCCUUUUUCUAAGCCGCUAAGCCGCUAAUAGCCUUUUAGCAGCUAAGCCGAUAAGCCGAUAAGCCUUUAAUAGCCGCUAAACCGCUAAUAGCGCUAAGCCGCUAAGCCGCUAAUAGGGUUGCUUCGCAAGACGAAAAAACCGCUAGACGAAGACACUUGCGGAACGGAUUAAUUUCGUCUUGCGAGGCACCACUGUAUCUAUCUGUAUCUGCUCUGGCGGCUCUGGUUCAGGCUCUGGCUCUGACUUGGGCAAUCCAGGUUUUGGCUUGGGCUCUGGCUCUGGCGUGGGUGGCUUAGACUUGAGCUUGGCAGUGGCAGAGGGGCUGUCAGGCAAUUGCCCAAAAACAUUUUUUGUGUGUCCGGAUUUUUACCUCUUGAAAUAUGGCCUUGAGCUUGUUUGGAGGUUCUAGCAGGCAAGCGCAGCUAUCGUAUACCCUUGACUAAAGAACGGUACAGUCAUACCUUGGGUUACAGACGCUUCAGGUUGCGUUUUUCCAGGUUACGGACCGCCGAAACCUGGAAGUACCAGAAUGGGUUACUUCUGGGUUUUGGCGGUCGUGCAUGCGCAGAAACGCUAAAUCGCAACCCGUGCGUGCACAGAUGCGGGUUGCGAACGCUGCGGGUUGCGAACGUGCAUCCCACACAGAUCACGUUCACAACCAGAGCGUCCACUGUACACUCCUUCUCUCUGGGAUGGUCAUCCUCUUCCACUGAGCGCACAGUUUCGGGAGGGACGCACAUGGAGCGGUGAGGGAGGAAGGAGACACGUGCCUAGCCAGCCAGAUCAGCCGAAUCAACCCUGGCGAUCAAUGGGGUGACAGAUGUCGCAGCCAGAUCACCCUCACAUCUGCCUCUUGAAAUAUGGCAACCCUAUGCAUAAGGCUGUUGGAGAGUUCCGACAAAAAUGGAAAUGGAAAUUGCCCAUGUUCGCUUAUUUGCCCAUGCCCAGGAUGAAAAUCAACCCUGUUGUUGUUGCUUUAAUCGAGGAUGAACUUUGGUCUUUCAAAUUUCAGCAUCAUCCUGUGUGAGGCCCAAAUGUGAUGCCCCCUCUUCCAUUUUGCUCCAUCCACAUUCUGCUCUGUUCCGCUUUCAUUGAUGACACCCCCUUCCUGCGCUUUCGUUGAGUUUCAUUUGCACUGAAAUGAAUGGAGCUGGCGAUGAAGCCUCGCCGCUGAUGAAGAACAUGAACCCCCAGCUGGGCUUCUGCCAGAAACUAGAUUGGUACAUAAACAAGGAACAUUUACAUGGUUCAACAGGUAUGCAAGGGGAUUAUAUACAAGGCUAAGUGCAAGCGAAUGCACUGAUCCAACAAGUGACUCACACCUGCCACACUUUCCUUAGGAAGGAUGGGUUGGGCACAGCACUUAGCAUGGGAAAUAGCCAUAGUGAGAUUGGGCAGGCAAACUAGGACUUCACUGGGUUGGCUGAGCUUGUAAGGCCUGUUUGCACCACCGCUGGUGUCUCCAUGUCCGAGGAGAUGGAGAUGAUGUCUAUGCUGGUUCAGGAUCUGGCUUAGUCUCAGCAGUCCUGUUCUUCGAAGGAGGCUCAUCACUGACAGGGAGAAGCACUGGUUACAUAAUAAUAAUAAUAAUAAUAAUAAUAAUAAUAAUAAUUUAUUUGUACCCCGCCCAUCUGGCUGGGCUUCCCUAGCCACUCUGGGCAACUUCCAACAAAGACCAAAAACACACUAAGAUGUCACACAUUAAAAACUUCCCUGAACAGGGCUGCCUCCAGAUGUCUUCUGAAUGUCAGGUAGUUGUUUAUCUCUUUGACUUCUGAUGGGAGGGCAUUCCACAGGGUGUGCGUCACUACCAAGAAGGCCCUCUGCCUGGUUCCCUGUAGCUUUGCUUCUCACAAUGAGGGAACCGCCAGAAGGCCCUAGGCGCUGGACCUCAGCGUCUGGGCAGAACAAUGGGGGUGGAGACGCUCCUUCAGGUCAAAUAGGACAAAUCUGACAUGGGGUGUCUGGUGUCACCAGAGCAGAACACUCUUCUGCUAGCCCAUUUGGUGCCUCCCUGGCUCAUCAUCCCCCAGGCUAUCAGACAUGUCCCUAGGCUUGGACAAUUUCAUGGGUCCAACAGACACUUUCUCCAACCCACAGAACCCUCCAAAGGGUUGCCCAGCUUUCUGAGCUCCUCUCAUUCUUCUUCAGACCACCCACUCCAUGACAGCUAAAGAAGAACCCCUGCCAGGGGUGGAAUAAAAGAAUGACAGCAUAAUUCACAUAAUUAAUUAUGUAAGUUAUAUAAAAAGGUAAAGGUAAUUUUACCUAACACCAAGAAAACUAGUGCUAAUACACCCAGGAACCUCACCAAAAUGCUGGAGAGAGUGCACUUCCACAGGCACAUACCUCCACAUGUGGUGGGAGUGCCCCAAAAUCCAACUAUACUGGACAACAGCCAUAUGAGAAAUAUGUAAAAUAACUAAGCAAGUAUUAGACAUCACCACAGAAUUGGCCCUACUAAACAUCUUCCAAGACAACAAUGCCCAUUUACACCACAAAAAACUCAUAACCCACCUUCUUUCAGCAACCAGAAACACCAUAACCAGACACUGGAGAGACCUGUCAGGAGUAAGCAUGGACCAAUGGUACCAAAUAGUAUGGGAAACAGCCCUACCAGAAAAAUUAACCAAUAAACUGAAACUGACAUGGAGACAAACAGAAGAAGACACCUCUACCCCAGUAUGGCUCCCCUGUAUCACAUACACAGCCCAACAAGACAAUGACAAUAAUCCACCAACGGCAUACAAAUCAAUAUGGCUAAUCUGAUCCAAAACACCCACCCACCCCACUCACACACGAAAACAAAGAUCACCACAGCCAAUCACAAAGAAACAACCACACCCUAGGCCAACCCCAACCUCUCUCACCACCAAAGGAACACAAGUGAACAGCAGAGAACCUGCACGAGCAACACUGACACAAAACCGUACAUACAUUAAGCAUAAUAGAAACAUCGCCACCCGACCCCACCCCACCCAUCUUCCCCCCACCCCUUUUUUUCUCCCCCUAAUGUCUCAACAAAUGAAACGGAUUUGUAAAAAUGUUACAUGGAAAAAAUACGAGAGAUAUUACACAUACUUCUGUAAAACAAGAAAAUCUUUAAUAAAAAAAAAACUAAAACACCAAAAAAAAAAGGGGGGGUAAAGGUAAAGGACCCCUGGGUGGUUAAGUCCAGUCAAAGGCAACUAUGGGAUUUUGGCACUCAUCUCGCUUUCAGGCUGAGAGAGCCGGUGUUUGUCCACAGCUUUCCAGGACAUGUGCCCGGCAUGACUAAACUGCUUCUGGUGCAAUGGAACACUGUGAGGGAAACCAGAGCGCACGGAAACACCGUUUACAUUCCCGCUGCAGCAGUACCUGUUUAUCUACUUGCACUGGGGUGCUUUCAAACUGCUAGCUUGGCAGAAGCUGGGACAGAGCGAUGGGAGCUCACCCUGUUGUGGGGAUUUGAACCGCUGGCCUUCUGAUGGGCAAGCCCAAGAGGCUCAGUUCUUUAGACCACAGCGCCACCUGCUCCCCCCGUAAGUUAUAUAAUUUCACCACAACAGAUAACAAGACUCAUAAUGCAGUUUUGGGCAGAAGAUGAACUACAGCAGAACAGGAAAAAGCACAGCAUGGAACAAAUAUAGGGUGGAAUGUAAUACGAUGCCAUCUUUUGAAGUUUUCUCUUAUUUUCAUUGCUUACCUAUUAGAAACACAUUCAGUGUGCAUUGUGGACACAGCACAGCAUGCUAGCCAUCUUCCUUCUAUGUCUCUCCUAGACAGACAUUUAAAAUUUUAUUGAGAAAUGCAUUUAUAAUAAGCAAAAACAUCAAAACAAAGUGCUUCAUACGAAUGGCACAUUUCUCGAUAUGCGUCACUAUUGUUCUCAUGUUUUGUGAAAUCUCUUUAUUUCUUUCCAUGCAGAGAACAUUUGCGCUGUUAACUGUGCCAGUUUCACAGAAAGAAAAAUGCACUUAUAAAGGAAAUAGAAGCAUAUGUUCUCCAAGGAAGAAUGAUCAAAUAAAACGCCCAAAGAGGAACUGUGUUUCUCUUUGCAAUUAUUGGGUAAUGUAGGAAGUAUGAGCAUUCACUUCUUCACUGUGGGGACAUGUGUGGGCUCCCAAUGCAGGGACAGCUCGUGCAGCUCCUCCUGAUGAAGUAAAUGAGUUGUCCCCUCAUUCACUAGGCCAGAUGCACAACCACAGGAAGCACAGCUUGCUCACACUUCCUAGAAAUGGGUGGAUUCAUCCUGCUAUAAACAGUCUGUUGAUUCCAGAGACCAGACAACUAGCAAGCCAUCUUAAUUAUGCUGGCCUGUAGCUUUGGGGUCACAGGCCCAUGGCAUCUGAGACUACAUUAACAGUACAGUGGUACCUCAGGUUAAGAACUUAAUUUGUUGUGGAGGUCUGUUCUUAACCUGAAUGUUCUUAACCUGAAGCACCACUUUAGCUAAUGGGGCCUUCUGCUGCCGCCGCACCGCUGGAGCACGAUUUCUGUUCUCAUCCUGAAGCAAAGUUCUUAACCCGAGGUACUAUUUCUGGGUUAGCGGAGUCUGUAACCUGAAGCGUCUGUAACCCGAGGUACCACUGUACAGGCGACUCCCCCCAUACGCAGGGGUCACGUUCUGGGCCACCGUAAGUAAAAUCGCGUAAAGUGAGGAGCACGUUCUAAAUACCCUUUCAAUGCUCUCUCCUCAAUCCAUACCAAAAACACUGUAUCCAAAAAUAUCCACAACCAGAACUGGAACUCUAGGGCUGGCAGGAGGCUGGAGGACACGUGGGAAAGCAGCUGCUGCUGCUGCUGUGCUACCCCACAUGUCAGCUGUUAGACGGGGAGGGUAAGCAGCAUAAACAGGUGAAUCUCUGCUUCUUAAUGGCGCCAUUGGAGGGUUUUCACCAGACGAAGUGUUUUUGCACCCAGCACUUCCCUGCCUUCCACAUUCUAUGCCGGAGCAAGAGUCAGAUUCCUGAGAUGAACUGUGAGUGAAGCCCAUUCCCCCUGUCCCUGGGGGGAAUUUGCAAGGAUAAUUACCCUCAAUCACCCUUGUUUUUCCUUCGCCAAUGAUCUUCCACUGUCAUGGGGGCUGCCUGUUGAAUGGUUUAAUAUGUAAAGGUUCAUCAUUGUUCCACUCGAUGUGUAUGUCUUUAAGGGGCCAGAGAAAGGGCCAGAGCAAAAUAACGAGACCCAGCUUUACAGCUGUGAAACAUAGCAGGUGCUGCUGAGUUGUAUUGAUUAAGCUGUGUUGGUAAUUGGGUGUAGUAUAUAAGGAGCAGCACCUAGCUCUCCCAUUCCCCUGGGGGAUGGGUUGGUGGUUGGGUCAUGUUUGUUUGUUAAUGUAUUUAGUGUAAAAGGAGUUUUUGUUUUUCUUAUUAAAACCUUGUUUAAGUUAUUUUUGAGUCCCUUUUUAAUGCAUGGUCUCCCCAGCAAGCUCUCUGCAGCGCUACCAUACUGCAAAAAGUCAACAUCUUUGGUUAUGGGCCCAGCUGCUGAGUGGAUGACUGCAUAUUUUUGGACUCUGAGAAAGGUUUGAAAACUCCUUCUCCUGUUAGCGUAGUUCUGUGGGUCUGGAAGAGUUCCAGAAUGGUUGACUGGGUUCCUGAAGCUGAGAAGGCUCUGGUCUUCCCACAGCUGACAGAUGAGAACUAUAGUUUAUGGUCUUUUCGGGUGGAGGCGCUUUUGACCUCUAGAGAAGUAUGGACCUAUGUAACUGAUGACCCUCCUGACCCUGUGACUAAUGCGUGGUCGAAAGGAGAUGCGAAAGCCAGGGCGAUAAUUAAUUUGGCAGUCAGCGACCAGCAAGUAGUCUAUAUAAGAAAUAAGAAAACUGCCAAAGAAAUGUGGGACAGUCUUGCAGCAGUGCAUGUUAGAAAAGAGUCAGCGUCUGCAUUGACGUUUUCAAGCAGUUGUACCAGACGAAGUUGCAGCCUGGUGGUGAUUUGGCAGCACACUUGAGACGUCUGGAGGCAAUACGCGGCGAAUUAAUUCGAAGGGACAUGGAGAUACCUGAUAUUCAGUAUGUUUUCAUCAUCCUUUGUUCCCUUAAUGAGGACUUUGAUGGUAUAGCUAGCCAGAUAUCUGCCGUUCCACCAGCACAAUUAACUGUGGAAGGGGUAACGGCAAGAUUAAUGGGCGAGUUGGACAGAAGGGAGGCUUGUGCCAUAAGCACUCCUAUUUCCAGAAAGAAUGAGGAACGCCAUAUGCAAACUUGUGGUGAUACAACUGCAUUUAAAGCUGCAAAGCGUUGUUGGUUCUGCAAUAAGCAAGGACAUUUUGCAAAGGACUGCAGAUCCAAAAGAAAGGAAAGUACUCCCAAGUCUGUUUCUGUUCGUCAGUCACGGUCGUCAGCUCAGCAGCCGGCAUCGUACUGUAAAGACAGAAACGAGCCGCGAGCUUUUCACGCUAGCACAAGAGAUCGUAAAAGAAUUAAAGGUGCCAAGUGGAAUUCUUUUAUUGUGGACUCAGGAGCAUCUCAGCACGUUUGCAACGAUCGAAGCUUGUUUAUUUCUUUCGAAGAGGAAAUUGGUAAUGUACAUUUAGCCAAUUCACAAGUCUUGCAGUCGCUUGGCAGGGGUACUGUUAAACUUGACUCUUUAAACAUUACUAUAGCGAACUGCAUUUACUGCCCGUCAGUGGACAAUUUAUUGUCAGUAAGGUGUUUUGCUCGUCAAGGCAUAACUGUGCGUUUCUUAAAGUCAAUGUGUGAGUUUUUUGAGGGGAACAAACGUCUAUUGUAUGCCCGGGAAUCUGAUGGUUUAUAUAGACUGUAUUUUCACACCUACUCCCAAUCGCCUAUAAAUUGCAGAGCAGCACAGUCAAGCCAGGGGUUGAGGAAUGUAAGGCCACAUUCUGGGUGUGUCCAUGAGGCGCACAGAAUUCUGGGACAUCUGAAUUUUGCUGAUGUAAUUAAGACCAAGAAUAUUGUUAAUGGCCUCAACUUAAAACCAUGUAAAUUCUUUAUGCAAUGUCUAUCCUGUUGCAAGAAUAAGAUUAAGGUUGCACGCAAGGGUAGGUGCUCAGAUAGGAAAGUAACUGAGCCAUUUGAGCGUGUACAUUGUGAUUUAGUUGGGCCACUCCCACCAUCCUUAGGAGGUUCUAAGUACUGGCUUACCCUGAUAGACCAGUAUAGUAGAUAUUGUUGGACUUAUGCAAUAGCUGAGAAGUCCCAAGCAUUUGAGAAGUACAAUGUUUUUUUCAACUGGGUAAACACACAUUUUAACAUACCUAUUAAGAACCUUUUUCUGACCGGGCGGGAAUUUGUUUCUGAGGAUUUUGAGAAAUUCCUGGAAGCGCAGGGGACUACUCAUGAGUUAUCUUGCCCCCGAAGUCCCUGGCAAAAUGGGCUUGUUGAAGUUGUGCAGCGUGACCUGCAGGCAGGGGUUAAAACUUAUCUGCAUGAUGCUAAUCUGCCCAAAGACUUUUGGGCUGAAGCGCUCAAUGCCUUUUGUUAUGUUAGAAAUCGCAGUUAUCAUUCUGGUUUAGAUGUCACCCCCUAUGAGAAGCUGUUUAAAAACGCCCUAAUCUGAAAUACCUACGCAUUUGGGGUUCAGAUGUAAUAAUGCAUUAUCCCGCUAAGCAGAAAUUGGGUGAACGUAGUGUCCAGGGAAAAUUAAUGGGCUACCAGCAGGGGCGUACAGAAUUUACAUACCAGCAACUGGCAAAUUUCAUAUUACCAGAAGCAUGAUACAAACUGUAAAUUGGAAUGGCGUUGCUGUUUUCCAAGAUACUAACGGUAUAGAUAAUACUGAGGAAGAAGAGGUAGAAGAAGCAGCAGCAGCAGCAGCAGGAAAUGGUGCUUCUGAAUUAAUGGAAGAAGACAAAAAGCCUGUUGAAUCUGAUGGUUAUGGACCACAGGUACGAAGUUCACAGCAUGUAAUGCUUUAAAAGAGAAUAUUAUGAAAAUGGUGUACAGGUGGUACAUGACCCCAGUUAAGCUUGCAAAAAUCUACCAUUUGCCCGAUAAUAAAUGUUGGAAAUGUAAGGAAACUGAAGGUACAUUCUUUCACCUUUGGUGGACGUGCCCAAAGAUUAAGGCCUUCUGGGAAAUGAUAUAUAAUGAGUUGAAAAAGGUAUUUAAGUAUACCUUCUUAAAGAAACCAGAGGCCUUCCUCUUGGGCAUUGUCGGCCAAUUGGUGCCAAAGAAAGAUAGAACUUUCUUUAUGUAUGCAACAGCAGCAGCAAGAAUACUCAUCGCAAAGUAUUGGAAGACACAAGACUUACCCACUCUGGAAGAAUGGCAGAUGAAGGUAAUCGAAUAUAUGGAACUGGCGGAGAUGACUGGCAGAAUCCGUGACCAGGGAGAAGAGUCGGUGGAAGAAGAUUGGAAGAAAUUUAAAGUCUAUCUACAGAAAUACUAUAAAAUUAAUGAAUGUUAAAUUGAAGUCUGAUUGAAAAUAACUGGUAUUGGCAAAAGCCUUGGGAUUAAGAGUAUGGAAUAUUUGACUGAUAAGGUUGUAAAAAUAUUUAUAUAUAAAUAGAUUAAGUUUUCUGAGUUAAGAUAAUGAAAGGAGGGUAAGGAUUUGCUGAAAGGAGUUCUUAAAUGGAAAUACAAGCGUGGAGGUGCGGGGAAGUCAAAGAACCAGGUAAAGAUAAGAAGGAUAAAUGAAAGUAUAAUAUUCUUUGAAUUUCUUUGUCUCUUUUUCUUUUUUUCCUUUUUCCUUUUUUGUUAUGGAUACUGUUAUUUCUGUUUGUUUUUUGUUAUGGUUAUUGUUGUUUUUUGUUUGUUGAACUUCUGUAAUUUUGUAUUUUUUUUGGGAAUUUUUCUUGUAAAACCAAUAAAUAUUUUAUAAAAAAAAAAAAAAAAGCCUGUUGAAUCUGAUAAUUUCUUUGAUGAUUUAAAGUCACAGGCACCCGAGGGGAGGUUAGAUUCUCUUGAGUUUUCUGACCGUGAGCUUAGCCAACAGGCAUCUCUUCAGUCUGACAAUGAUGAUUUACAACCUGAAACUAGUAGUUUACAUAGUCCCAUUAAGUCUGAGGAGUCUGACUCUCCUUCCGGACUGAGACGUUCAGAUAGAAAGAGACAGAAGCCACAACGUUUUGCAGAUGAACAUUUUAAUACUGUGUAUGCCAAUAAGGCAGUUUUGAGCCAAAAGCUACAAUGAUGUUCAGAAUUUACCUAAGCACCAAGCUGUAAAUUGGUAUAAAGCUAUGAACUCUGAAAUAGCUUCUUUAAAAGAGCAUAACACUUGGUCUCUUGUACCACAAACCCCAGAUAUGAGACUUAUUGAUUCAAAAUGGGUUUAUAGAGUUAAAAUGAAUGACAAAAAUGAAGUUGUAAGGUACAAGGCAAGAUUAGUUGCUAGGGUUUUCAACAAAUUCCAGGCGAAGAUUAUGAUUUGUGUUAUUCACCAAGUGUAAAAUAUGAAACAGUUAAGCUUUUGUUAAAAGAUGCAUCACAGCGUGGACAUUCUGUUUAUCACCUAGAUAUAAAAACUGCAUAUUUGUUUGCAGAUUUAAAAGAACAAAUUUUUAUGCGUGUCCCUGAAGGCAUAGAUGCCGCUGAAGGUUUGGUAUGCAAAUUAAAUAAAUCCCUUUAUGGUCUGCACCAAAGUGGAAGGAACUGGCACCAAACUUUAGCAAAAGAAUUGCUGGAUAUUGGUUUUUCACAGGGAAAGGCAGACAAUUGUGUGUUUAUAAAGGAAAGGGCAAACUCUGUAGCAAAAAUAUGUGUCUAUGUAGAUGACGUGUUAUUUCUACAAAAACUAAACAGGAAUAUGAACAGGUAGUAACACAGUUACAGAAGAAAUUUGAUGUGGUGGAAUUAGGCAUAGCUAAAAAUUACUUAUCCAUGCAAAUUGAGAAAGGCAAAAAUGGAUCUUUUCUGGUUCAUCAAACUGCAAAAAUUGACGAUCUUGUUGAAAUGCUAUGUUUAGAAAAUGCAAAUGGGAAGGAAACGCCCAUGGUGUGUGGUUUCACUUUUACAGGUGAAGAUAAGCCAUUUCCUAACAAAACUUUGUAUCGUUCUGCUAUAGGCAAGCUAAAUUUCAUUCAAAGAAUCUCAAGACCAGAUAUAACUUAUGCCUUUCACUUUCUGGCAAAAUUUGUGGAAAAGCCCACUACACAAUGUUUCUCUGCUCUUAAGAGAGUGGUAAUGUACCUUAAACAUACCAAACAUUAUAGGUUGCAGUUUACAACAUGUAUUGACAAAGGUUUUGAAAUUUUCUGUGAUGCAUCUCAUGCAGUGGAACAAAAUAAUUGCAGGGGUGUGUCUGGUAUGGUGUUUUGUUAUAAUGGUUGUCCAUUUGAAUGGAAGUCCCAGACACAAAACAUUAUUUGCCUCUCCACAACAGAGAGUGAGUUAUGUGCAUGCGUUCAGGCCACUCGUGAUGUGGAAUGGUAUCUGCAAGUAUUCGCAGACCUACAGAUGCAAGUAACACUACCAGUAAAAGUUUACCUUGAUUCCCAGAGUGGACUCGCUAUCCUAUGUUCACAAACCAAUACGCAGCGCACUAAAGUCUUAAGAUUACGUUUACAGUUUGUAAAGAAACUAAUUGCUGAUGAAAUGGUUGUAUUUAAAUAUGUUCCAGGUGACAAUCAAAUUGCAGACAUUUUUACUAAAGCACUUCCAAAAGGUAUACAUGAAAAACAUGUACAAAGUAUGCUUUAUGUUUUUGUUCCACAAUGAUGAACCGCAGGGGAAAUGUUGAAUGGUUUAAUAUGUAAAGGUUCAUCAUUGUUCCACUCGAUGUGUAUGUCUUUAAGGGGCCAGAGAAAGGGCCAGAGCAAAAUAACGAGACCCAGCUUUACAGCUGUGAAACAUAGCAGGUGCUGCUGAGUUGUAUUGAUUAAGCUGUGUUGGUAAUUGGGUGUAGUAUAUAAGGAGCAGCACCUAGCUCUCCCAUUCCCCUGGGGGAUGGGUUGGUGGUUGGGUCAUGUUUGUUUGUUAAUGUAUUUAGUGUAAAAGGAGUUUUUGUUUUUCUUAUUAAAACCUUGUUUAAGUUAUUUUUGAGUCCCUUUUUAAUGCAUGGUCUCCCCAGCAAGCUCUCUGCAGCGCUACCAUACUGCAAAAAGUCAACACUGCCUCCACAAAGUCAGAACAUUUGUCCAUCUAUCUCUAGCCUCUCCUGGUAUGUCCCACAGAGGACCUUACGGUCUUCAAACAAAAACAUCUUGGAGGUCCUGGGCCACAGAGAGGUUAGGCUGGCCUCAACCAGAGCCAGGGCUUUUUCAGCUGUGGCUCCAAUCUGGUGGAACGCUCUGUCACAAGAGACUAGGGCCCUGCGGGACUUUCCGCAGGGCCUGCAAGACAAAGCUGUUCCACCAGGCCUUUGGCCAAGGCACAGCCUGACCCCCUCCUUUGGUAAUUCUUCACAGAACUCUAGCCCAAUGGUUGCCAUCAAUUUGAUUUGAACUGAUUUUAUAAUGAAUUAUUUUAGAAUGCUGUAUUAUUUUACUGUUGUUAGGGGAGGGUGGGAUAUAAAUGAAAUUUUAUUAUUAUUAUCAUCAUCAUCAUCAUCAUCAUCAUCAUCAUCUCAGUAUUAUCUAUGCUGAGGUAGGGAACACCUGAGGCCCUUCAUUCUGUUGCAGGACUGUGACUCCCACAAUCCCUGGCUAUGCUGGUUGAGGCUGAUGUGCGUUAAGGGACCAGCAAGGGCCAUAGGUUCUCCAUCCCUGGUUGCGCUGAGUUUCAGACAACCGUACCUAGAGGGCUAGAGAGUGAACCUGUGACCUUUUGUACCCAAUUUCCUUAUCCACUGUGCUUGAGUUCCUCCUACAACUACAUAUUGUGGCCUGCGCCAGGAAUAGUUUAAAUAUUUUUUAUAGCAUCGCAGCCAAUUUGAAUUUUGGCAGCCAUCAUUUUCAUACUCCAAUGGUGGGUGUAACAAAGUGAUAAACUGAGGAACGUCUUCCCCACAGAGGUGUGUCUAGACUCUUCAUUGCUCAGCUUUCCUUGAAUGGUGUACCACAAACACUGGAAAACCCCAAGAAACAUUCUAUUAACUGCAUUUGUUGAGGAAUAAAACCCUACUUAGCAAGGCAUUCUCUUAUCUUAUGCAAGCUCAUAAAUCUCUUCUUUUGGCACAGGAAUACAAGAACACAAUGAAGCUGUCAUUCCAUAUCUAAGCAGAUGACAUCCUUGCAAAGCAAACUCAACAGAGAAUCAAUUCAACAUCAAGGUAGUUGUGAAGACUUGUAUUAACUUGUUCAAGACAUGCAUAAUACUCCCAGUAUGUACUCCAACGCAGCAAAUACCUUUGUGUUAAUAAACAUUACAAAGACCAAA
Podarcis lilfordi (Lilford's wall lizard) is the source of this 14871-nucleotide non-coding RNA. NCBI's taxonomy places the organism in Eukaryota, Metazoa, Chordata, Lepidosauria, Squamata, Lacertidae. The record is from the annotation of a GenBank genome assembly.